RNAcentral lists this ribosomal RNA (497 nucleotides) under uncultured bacterium. Its description in RNAcentral is "partial 16S ribosomal RNA". It matches the Rfam family "Bacterial small subunit ribosomal RNA", at positions 28 to 507 of the family's 1533-position model. The record is from RNAcentral.
GAUGAACGCUGGCGGCGUGCCUAAUACAUGCAAGUAGAACGCUGAAGGCAGGAGCUUGCUCUUUCCGGAUGAGUUGCGAACGGGUGAGUAACGCGUAGGUAACCUGCCUGGUAGCGGGGGAUAACUAUUGGAAACGAUCGCUAAUACCGCAUAACAGUAGAUGUUGCAUGAUAUCUACUUAAAAGGUGCAAUUGCACCACUACCAGAUGGACCUGCGUUGUAUUAGCUAGUUGGUGAGGUAACGGCUCACCAAGGCGACGAUACAUAGCCGACAUGAGAGGAUGAGUAGCCACACUGAGACGGAGACACGGCACAGAGGGCUACGGGAGGGAGCAGGAGGGAAUCGUGGGCAAGGGGCGGAAGACAGACCGAGAAACGCCGCGGGAGGGAAGAAGGAUGUCGGAUCGGAAAGCACGGUUGUAAGAGAAGAACGAGUGUGAGAGUGGAAAGUUCAGAGUGUGACGGUAUCUGAUAAGAAAGAGACGGCUAACUACGUG